AUGAUUGACAGCCGAAGGGAAGAAACGAAACGGGGGGGAGAGCCAGAAGGAAAACGGAGAAGGAGGGAGGGGGAGGUUGAGGAGGGGGCAGGAAAGGGAGGGAGCUUCAGAAAAUCCGAAUUUCCCUUCCUCUCAACGCCCCCCCCCCAAAAAAAACCGAGCGAGCGAGCCCGAGAAAGACAGCUAUUGUGCCUGAGCGCCAGGACGCGCGGAAUUCUGCCUCCGCAUGCACGCACCCCUACAGAAACCCGAAACCACAAAAACAACACGAUAACAAGAAGAGUCGCAGCCGCAGCAGCGAGAACACGCGCACGAGACCAGGCCCUCCUCUGCUCCUUUCCCAAAUCUAAGCGCCCCCGGCAACCCAGAUGCGCCGGUCGGACAGAGGCGAAGACGACGGAAGGGGGAGGAGGUAAAAAGAAACCCAGAUAUGGAGGGGGGGGCAAGAGAGGAAGGAUGAGGGCAAGGGGCAUAAACGGAGGGAAAGCCGCGCAGGGAAAUCCAGCGCAAAGCCGCCAGACCUACCGGGCAGCGGAGCGCGCAAUCCCCGCGGGCGCGGCGGGCGCCCUCUCCGCGUCUCUGGCGCCCCCUCCGGCGCGGUGCUACGUCGGCCCCCGCGCCGGGCGGGUCGGGGGCAGCCGGAGCGGAGCAGGCAUCGCCGGAUCGGUGGCGGCGGCGGCGGCAGCAUCAGCGGCAGGCGGCGCCCGCCCCGCAUCUCCCCUCCCCGCCCCUUGCCCAUCCUUCUCCCUUGCCCCCUCCCCCUCCUCUUCAGGCGAGAAGGGGGGAGGGGAGGAGGGCGCCUGUCCAGCCCCCACCUUCCCCUUCCCCUUCCCUGCCCCCUCCACACCUGGCCGCUUCCUACCUGCCGGCUGCGGAGCCCGGAGCUGCUUCGACGGUAGCAAGCGAGCCAGGCGCGGUCGGCGCCGGACUGGGCUGGAGAACAGUCGCGCCCUCCGAUCGCGCCGGUGGCGGAUCAGGCCCGACGGAGAGGAACAGUCUCGUGGGAAGAACAGCGGUGGGAGCAGAGAACCCGCGAAGGCGACGAGACGGGGUCUUCUCUGUCCUGUCUCUCCGGGCUUCACCUGCCCAGUCCGUGACCCCUCCCCCCAGUUAGAACCAGCCUCCCGACAGGUACGGAAAGGGGGAGAGGUCGACCGCGGGGAAGAACUUCAUCUCCUCCGUUUCCUAAUCUGUUUCUGGCGACUUGAACUCGGUGGAUCCCGCUUUCCCAGCGAGGAGGACUGUUCUUGUAAAUCGCUUCGGGAUUCUCUAACUGCAAGCAGCUUCAUGGAAAACCAUGGCUACCACCUCCGGUUUGGAGCGAGCAGUAGGAUGCCUCCAAAGGCCAUUGCAGGAUGCUGA
RNAcentral lists this long non-coding RNA (1362 nucleotides) under Salvator merianae (Argentine black and white tegu). RNAcentral describes it as "lncRNA (ENSSMRG00000011460.1)". Lineage: Eukaryota; Metazoa; Chordata; Lepidosauria; Squamata; Teiidae. The record is from RNAcentral.